RNAcentral lists this long non-coding RNA (20044 nucleotides) under Fragaria vesca (wild strawberry). Its description in RNAcentral is "long non-coding RNA (FVES_LNC000115)". The record is from RNAcentral. Lineage: Eukaryota; Viridiplantae; Streptophyta; Magnoliopsida; Rosales; Rosaceae.
UUUUUUUUUUUUUGUUCUGUGUGUGUUUUGCUCAGAUAUAGAGAGAGAAGAGAAAAGUGUGCAAAAAGCAAUCAAAGAUGCUGCCAAGAGAAAUGACAUGGGUUCUGCAAAGGUGCUCUGUUUUUUCCUCCUAAAGCCAUUUUGUUCUGAGCAAGGGUUUUACUUACAAUUUCGCAAUUUUAUGCAUUGUCUUUCCCUAAUUGGUUUUAUUUUUUGAGACUGGAUUACAAUGAUCACAUUAGACUUCAUGAGAAUGUAUGCUUUCGUAAAAUUCAACUAAAUCGAAGUAGAUAGCAAAUAUCAAUCUGUCAUGAUAUGGUUAAUUUUGUAGGAGAGAGUUUUUCUUUCCUAUAUGAAGGUUAAGCUUUAUCUGCUUAGAACAUACUGCAAUCAUGAUGUGUUAUGAAGAAAGGCUAAGGUUCUAGAUAUACUUGAAGCCGAUAAAUUUUGAAGAUAGUGAGCUAAUGGGGGCUCUCCAAUUUUAUUUUGAUCCGUACCAUGUGGUUUUGUUUGAUAUCGUGUUUUAUUUGACAGAUUAUAUAAGUGAUCAGUGGCUGAGUUUGAUUCCUGACUCAUGUUUAAUAUCUCUUUAUGUCAGUCACUUGCUGUAGAAAUUGUGAGAUCUAGAAAGACAGUGAACCGUCUUCAUGAAAAUAAGGCGCAACUCAAUUCAAUAUCAAUGCACCUUGGCGAGAGCGUUGGUACGGAUUUUCUAAUACAUGAGCUUAUAGUUCUGUUUGCAUGUAUACAUCUUAUCGCUGGUACUAGUGCUGCCCAUUAGCUAUUUGCGACUUGGCUCAUAUUCCUGUUGUUACUUUAUGCAUUUAAGUAGAGUAGUUGCUUUACGAUUUUGAAACUAGAAUCUCCUUUUAUUACUUGAAUUCAAAUGCUAUUCCGUAUUGUUAUUUUGCAGCUACGUUUGUUACUAAUUACUAUUUAUCCUAUUAAAAGAUACCACUUUUUCAGGAUUACCCGUGUUAAUCUAUAGCGAGUGAGUGAGAGGAGGAAGCUUUCUAAUAGGUUCCAAUUACACCUUAGAUCUUAUAGGCGAAUUAAACCAUCCACCUUGAAACACAGUGCUAAGUUAUCUUAGAACUCUUUUAGUACUAGUCAAUGUUUCAUAAUCCAAUGAAGAUAAUUCCUAUGUUUUACCAGGAUGUUUAAAGUGGACUCCUUGUCCACCACCUUGUUCUUUGGUUUUGUCUCAAUAAAAAGCUGUUCCUUUUCAAAAAUAACUUGAAUGAAUGCAAGGACAAACAUAUCUUGAUGUAGUUAUGGUUACUAAUAAAGUAAUAAUAUGCUGUUGAGUUUCAUUUUUUUCCCUCUCCUCGGUUGUGUUAUUUGUCUUAACUCUCUCGUACAUGUGGCUGAUUUUGCAGCUAUUGCCCGUACUGUUGGCCAUUUAUCCAAGAGUGCUGAGGUCAUGAAGCUUGUUAAUAAUCUGAUGAAGGCUCCAGAAGUGGCUGUUACGAUGCAAGAAUUUAGCAAGGAGAUGACUAAGGUAUCCCUUCAUCUAACAAAUAAGCAUAAACUUGAUUGCUUUUGUUUUCUUAGCUUUAGAUUUAUUGUAGACGUAGAAUAUACAUGUGCAGCAAUACUCUGUUUUCAUAAUGUGUCUUUCAUUCUAUUCUUAUUAAAGAGUAUAGGGAAAUAUGGAAAUAGGGUUACCUACCAUCAUUUUACCAAAAACCUUAGGGAGCUAAAAGGAAAAUAUUUUUCCUUAAUUUUGGUCACAGUUGUCGAUUUGAUGAGAAUAGGUAGCAGUUUUGUCCAUUUUAAUAAGUUUUCCCCUGAGGGCGUGAUUGCAAGCUGCACCAAGUCCUUCCUGACCAAAUUAAACCCACUUCAACCAACGAAUUGUGGGUUUGGACAUCCUGAGCUUCUGCCAGCCAAAAGCAGAAGAAAAGAUACCAUUGAUGAGGCAACCAGAUUUCAUCGCCCCUAUACAGACUAGGUAUCAGUUCAGCCAGGAAUAGAUAGAUUUCAUGUAGUAAGCUAUUCGAGGAUGAGGGCCGGACCAUGUAUAGUUACAACAUAUUAUAGUAUUUUACGAAAUGGUUCUUUAUAGCCAAACCAUCCUAGGAAUAGAUUGAUGAAACGGAACAAACUUAAACAACAAACUGUAGGUUCGGAGUUUCUGAGCUUCUCCCAGGCAGAAGCAGAAGAAAAGUACCAUUGAAGAGGGAAAAUAUCAUCACCCCUACGAGGACCAGAUAUUAUUUUUGCUAUGGAUACAUGAAUUUCAAGUAGUAAGAAAGAACAGGAUGAGAGGCGGAUCAUCUAUAACUAUUAGAACACGACUUACCAUUUCUAUGAAAAAUAGAGGGCUCUGUAACAUUUGAGCCACAAGCGAGAUAAAUGUUCAAAAGGAUGCCAAUUGUAAAAGCAGAGGGUUGUAAAGGGGCAAUUACCAGUAAUAUGAAGUAUCCAUAAUCUUACAGUGCUCAUUGGUUAAAUUCUAUUGUCCAGUUCCAGGAAAACACUUGGGGAAGGCUGAUGUCUCAAAUACUAUAACUGUCUAAGUGAUAGGCAUAUAUCUGAGCAGCCCAAAUGCUUCACUUCCAGAAACAUGGAGUGUUUUUAAUCCAAAGGCCACCUUUUGAUUUGGCCAUUUGGGAAGACAAAGCUCAUCAUAGGAAACCUUUUUGGUGUACUGGCCAUCAGAUGUUUAUUAUCAAUUAUGUUUGUGCCUUGUCUAGUUGUUCCCAUAAUUAUUGAACCUUGUCAGGUCCUCUACUGAAUAAGCACUCAUAUAUUGUGUGUGACGUGUAGGCAGGGGUAAUUGAAGAGAUGGUCAAUGAUAGUCUUGACACAACACUAGACUCGGAGGACAUUGAAGACGAGAUCGAGGAGGAAGUUGAUAAGGUUUUGACCGCCAUAGCGGGCGAGACUGCUGCACAACUUCCAGAAGCUGUGAGGAAGCAGAAGUUGAAGCAACCUGCUAGAGCCCAAGCUGCGCAGGAGGUAUGUGUGACUUGACCGUCUUAUAAUGAACUCCAGUUUCAGUAAUAAAUUCAGAGGCAGGAGAGCGUUAAAUGCCAUGUUACAUGUGCAGGAAGAAGCAAUAGCUGAGGGUGGUGAUGAUGAGGCAGAGUUGGAAGAAAUACGAGCCAGACUUGCCAAAGUUAGGUCAUAAGUUUGAUUUUAAGGCUUUUGGUCUCUGCCUUUUCUCUUCCCCAAGCAUUACAUAACUGAGGCAGAUGCACUUCCUGAGUAUAGCGUUUCGACCAGAUUGAGGUUGCAUCAGUGAGGCCCCAUCAGUGAGGCCCCAUUUACUACUGACAGAGAACACCAGAGAUGUUUUUUCUACUGUAUAUUAUAUUCAAGCAGCUUGGUAAAGAGUUUACACAGUAAGCUGCAAUUGUGCAAUAUUAAAGUGCAAAUAUAUUAGUUUGUGAUCUCUUUUUAUAUCUGUAUGAAGUCCAAGUUGUGUAACUUGCAUUUGCUCUUUAUCAUAAAAGGGGUACUCAUUUCAUGUAACUUUGCAUGAGAACAUAGCAUGACGUGUUUUGAUGGUAUUAUCUGGAAUAUAUAGAGGGUAAAGGAACCAGACAAUCAUCACCACAUUCUAUUCCUUCUGCUAUUAUGGCCUUAAACGUGAGUUUAAGCACCCACUUUUCUAUCAGGUUCAUGUUUAAGAUCAUUGGAUCUUGGUACUCAAUUUUGGUUGAAAAAUUUACUCAUGGACAGUAUAAUGAUCUAAAGUGUUAUGGUAACAGCAGUAAGGUUAGUUUAGGGUUUAGAGUAUGGAAGCCUUGGUCUUACUGGAUGGAAAACACGGCAAAUCACACUAUCACAGUAUGAGUGCUCCUUAAUCUUCAACAGUUGGAUGCACAUGAGGGGAAGGCAAGUCGAUACAGUUUUGUAUAUAUAAACCGAAAAUCUGUUCUGUAAAAUAGUAGUGCAGCUAUUGCUUAUAUAAAAUGAAAACUGCUUAGGUGGUUUGAUGUUUCCGGAGCGGAAUCAGUACACCUUGGUGCACAUGAACCAUAACAGAUUAAGCAAACGUCCGUUACUGACAAACAGAACAAGGACCGUAGUAAAAACCCAGAUUCCCAAUAAAAACUUUCCUCAUCAAAGAACACUCGGGCAAAACCCAGCCUUUCCAGCCAUGCCUCAUAAGUUCGACCCUUCUCACAGGUCAUCGAGGUCUAUGUCCGCGUCACCGGAGCGAGGUUGGCGCCGUCGGUCUCUCCCCCAAGAGAUCGGAAAAAGAAGAAUCGCUAAUCACGCCAUCGAGAUUAUUGCUAAGAUCAUGGAACACCAGAUUUGUUGUUGGGGAGAAGAGAAAGAGAGUGGAUCUUAAUAAGAUGAAGCUUUUCGGGUGGAUAGAUUUGUGGUGGAAGCAAUGAGCCUUGAGAGAUUUGACGACCUUGAAUUUGGUUCUAGUGACGAUGGUUCAACGUCAGCCAUGAAUGCAGUUGGUUUUGGAUUAAAAUGAUACAAAAGAUAUUAUGGUCAUUGUGGAAAGUGGAGACUAAAUUAACUAGAAGGAAUCAUGUGCAAGGGUGUCUAUGAUAGGAAAAUUGUACCAAUAGUGUUAAUUCUUUGAUUUAAUCUCGACCUCAAGAUCUUUACAAGCUGGCUGUCCAACUUUUUCUUUAAAUUAGACAAACGUGUGUGUCUAUAUAUAUAUUCUCAGGUGCGAACGUUCGCAUCAAAGUUUUGGUGCGGAUUUCUAUUUUUGCACCACUUCCCGAUCGAAUUUCCUCAAACUUCCUUCUAGACAUAUCUAGAUCAUCUCUGCAAAAUUUCAACNNNNNNNNNNNNNNNNNNNNNNNNNNNNNNNNNNNNNNNNNNNNNNNNNNNNNNNNNNNNNNNNNNNNNNNNNNNNNNNNNNNNNNNNNNNNNNNNNNNNAACUUCUUCAAAAUCGUUUUAUUAUCCACAAAACCAUUGAUAUGAUAAGUCGCCAUUACGCAAGUGUUAACCAUCAAGUACAAGAAAAAUUUCAAAUAUGUACAUCAUAUGAUAAGCCCAAAAUGACUAUGUACUUUCACAUACCUAGUUGUGUUUGAAUGAUCUAAACAUAAAUAGAUUAUGAUACCCAGAAAGAAAAUUAUGACCUAUAAAAGUUUCCAAGAUCCAAACUCCUUCACUGAAGAUCCAACAUCUGGAGAGGGGUUGUUGAUGUAACGUACACUUCAUGAUUAACAAUGAUGUAACGUACACUUCAUGAUUAACAGCUAGAAUUUCAAGUAAACCAAAGAAUAAUACAUAAGUACUACAAUCUACUUUGUAUCUAUCUUGAUUAGUCUUCCAUGACGCAAACGUCAUUUCGCUUGUAUGGAAGAAGCGGUCAAAUUCUUCCAUUUCUCCAACUCAGAAUUGUUCAAUUGAUGGAGAUUCUUGCUGGAAAAGUACCACCAGAAUUUAGUAACAACACUCUUCAAGUCGUUGGCUCUCAAAACAAAUCCUUCAACCUUUUUCUGAGCCUUGAGAGUCCUGGUUGAGAUAGGAAACUCAGAAAAUGAGGCAAAUUUUGUUGUAGCCCAAUUUAGUAGCUCCUCUCCAUAAAAGUCACCUCUCACAAGACACUUAAUAAUUGAUGAAGCACCGCUGGUAAUUCUUCCGGCAACAUUGGCAUUACAAGUUGUGUAAGACCAUGCGGUACCUCUUGUGAUGAAGAACAUCUCCUCAAGUGGUUCCCCCUCUCGAAUGAUAUAGGUGUCUUCGUUAUAUAUUACCAGCUGAAGAUGCUCACAUAUUGCCUUUAGUACUCGUGCAUCCAUGUUUAUGAACAUUGGCACCUGUAAGAUCCAACAUUUGGUGAAUUCUGCUUCACAAUAAUAGGAACAGCCGACAUCUUUAUGUUGCAACAUAUUAUUCACCUAUAUACGUAUGAACCAAAGAUGAUUGUAGGAGAACAAUACUUACUUUCUUUAAAGAAGUCAUACCAAGAUAGCUCAUGACAUCUCUUCGGUCUUUUACGGGAAGGUUAUGGAGGAAAUUGUCCCUAUCAACAAUAUUGUUCUUUUCAAGUUUUCGUUGUACAUUUUCCACAAUCACUGUCUUCAAAUUCUUAGGGAGUGCGUUUUUGGACACCCAAAAAUCUAUCUCUGGUUUCAUCAUUUGCAUUUUUUGCCUCAGUUUACGAUGUUUUGAUCUUUUCUUAAACACCUGCAUGCAUGUAUAAACAUUAUAUACAUACAAGUAUACAUUUUGUUGUACUGAUAUAUAAUUAAUCAUUCGAACCAACCUUAAGUCUUCCAUUGAAAUAUAUCAAAAACAGCACGAUGCCACUUACAGAUAAGAAAAUCAAAAAUAUGAUCUCCGAGGCUGGGAGACUAGUGUCAUGGUUUGAACCAAAAGAACUGCAGAAAUAGAUUGGUUUAAGUAUUAUUGUGUUCUUGCAUAUGAAACACACACACACAUAUCUAAAUAUAUAUAUAUAUAUAUAUAUAUAUAUAUUGUUCUAGGAUAUUCUAUAUCUUUCUAGAUAUUCUUUAUGUGUGUCUUUGCCUUAUGCCAAUAGGAUAUGUAGUUAGACUAGAUCUAUGUAUUCAUAUCCUUACCAUACUGGUAAUCUGUAAUUUCCUAUAUAAAGGGUUUCUAUCAAUGAAUGAGAUACACAUCUUUCACGAUUCUCUAUUCUCAAUUUACUUUCACUUCAUCACGUUAUCAGCCAUUUGCUCAAACCCUUGAGCUAAUAGUUCUUCCAAACCCUAAAACCAAAAGCCGAAACCCUCGGCCCUUCCUCGGCCGCCGCCGCCGAUUGCACCACCGAUUGCCGCCCCCCCCGGCCUUUCGCUCUACUGCUUCUUUUCUCGUCCGAUCAAGCAUCCAAGUUUUACGGUAUGUUCACUUUAAAACCCUAAAACUUUUCAAAGUUAAAUAACCUCAGGGGAGAUAAAAUGUUUUCUCCUCUUCUUCUACUCCAUUCUAUGCUUGGGACGGUGUCUUUGCAAGUUUAAAAAUCUCGGUUAUCCUCCCCGGGUCCAAAGUUGUGUUUGAUCAACUUUGGUUAUUGCUAUUUUGAAGGUGUGUUUGAUCACCUUCACAUAGUUCCGGGUCGUGUUUGAUCGACUCCGGACAUUUAGGGUUGUGUUUGAUCAACCCUAGAGAGACAAACCAAAAGCAUCGUAUUUGAGUACCUUUUUCAGGGUCUCCAACAGAAAACUAAUACGACUUGUUCUCUCUUGUAUGCAGAUGGACAGAGGCAUUGAAUUUGAAGUCCUCGACACCCAUGGUACUGAGUACCAUCGUUGGAUCUCGGACAUAGAACAGACCUUCAUCGCUAAGGAUCUGACCGAGACCAUAUUCCCCGAUCCAGAUCAGGAACCGCCUAGCAAGAGAACAAAAUCUCAGGCACUAAUGUUCCUUCGUAAGCAUAUCGAUCCCACACUGCGCAGGCAAUAUCAAUCCAAGCACGAUCCAAAAGAUCUGUGGGAUGCCCUUGCCGAACACUUCGGCAACAUUCACUCGACCUUGCUCCCAGAACUAAUUGCUCGCUGGGAUGAAAUCCGACUUUUGGAUUACAAGAAGGUCGAUGACUUCAACAGGGAUAUGCUUUGCCUACAAGCUUAACUGAGCUCAUGUGGAGUCGAGAAAAGUGAUGCCGACAUGAUCGAAAAGACUUUCUCGACCUUCCUUUCAGUCGCUAAGAUCCUCAUGAACCAAUAUCGGCUUGAGUUCACAAAUAAGAGGAUCACUACAUUUAGCGGUUUAAUGAUGCAUCUCCUUAUGGAAGAAAAGAAUAACAUGAUCAAUGAUCAGCAAAAUUUGCGUCCUGUAGGCACCCGGAAAAUUCCGGAAUCUAAUUACAAUUGCAACCGGAGUAAGAAAGCUCUGAAACGCAAGGAUCAACAUAGGAAUGAACCUUAUGCAUGUGGGAAUCAUCACCUCCGUGCCUCUGGUUCUCAGGGACAAGGUAGCGGCUUUAGUGGCCGUACCAACUCAUGGCAUCGAGACACCGGUGUCGCCGGCCCCAAGGGCGGCGCCGCUCCUCCUCGGAAGCAGCAUGCUCGCUCUUCUUCUGCCUUUGAUGGUCAAUGCAACAGAUGUGGGUCCAAGGACCACUGGUCUAAAAGCUGUCGCGCUCCUGCAAAUGUUGUUACCGCAUACAAGAAAUACAAGGAACUGAUGGAAGUCAAUUCCACUGAAAACAAUGGAGUUGAACAUAAUGUUACAUUCAAGGUCGCUGACCCUAAUGGACAAUGUUCUGACUUAGAUGCCCCUGACUUUGACGUCACCGGCUAGAUUGUUUUCCCUUUUACAAGUCAUGAUGUAAUAAGGCAUCGUCAGCAUGCCAUGCUUAGUUUUCUUCUCAAUUUUUUUUUGAGACCCUUAUGUACUCUUUUCAGCGCAUUAAUGAAAGUUUAUUUCAUGGUUCUUCUUGUCUCUACAUGGUUCGAAUUGAUUUACAUCUACCUUAGAAAACAUGGCAUCAACGCUGUCUUCAGUCUCUCCCUUAAAAGAGGUGACGUACGGCGCCAUGACUCUCAAGGAGAGUUACUCACGUGUUUUCCGGUUCAAGUUUUUUACCUAUAGCGGAUUUUCCAUCAUCAAUUGUUCAACUAGGCUCAUCCAAGUUAAUAUGAUGUCUUAGAAUUGUCUGAAAUUAAGGAGUUAGUGGUUUAAGUGUGCCUCGCACUACCGACCCUCCACGGACAUGCCUGGCCAUACUUAAUUUGGAGUUACCGAAAACUUUUGAUUUUGGAUUCCCUCUACGCUAUUACUCCAAUUGCCGUCUUGUAAAAGACUUUAAAGACUUGGAAAAACCGGACCAUCAUCGAAUCCUCUAGGUUCCUUGAUCAUCAACACGUCCCUGUGGCUGAGCAUUCGUCUCCAUGCCACCAGCAAGCUUCAAACGCUUUGCUAAUGCCAAAUCUGCGAAAAACAGUAAUCUGUCCUCCCUGGACAGUCACUUCGUUUGAGCUUUGUGAACAGCUCCGGAUGAACCAGACAGUGAGCUUUAUAUCAUUGGAAAGCUCUACGAGUCUAGUUUUCAGAAAAUUUUGCGGUUCUUCCAUAUCUAUUUUAACGAAGGAGUUAUGACUGUUUUAGUGUGCAAAGGUCAUUCUGCGCAAGAAAUUUUCAGCACUCUCGGGAUUGUUGCUACUUUUAGCUUUUUCAAUCCUUCUAAAUAGCUCGAUAUCGACCUAUUUACUCAUAUAUCUACUCUCUUUUGUAGAUAUGUCUCUUGGAGAGAUCAAGUGCCUCGCAGAUAGUGGAUCAACCCACACAAUUCUAAGGAACCGGCAACUAUUUCUUGAGUUAGUGCCUUGUAAAUCAUCUGUGACGACAAUGAUUGGAUCUUCCCCUGUGAUCCUCGGGCGUGGAACUGCUCGCUUUUUUCUGCCUCAUGGCACUAUGAUCCACAUCAUGGACGCUCUUUAUGCCCCAAAAGGGCACCGAACCCUGUUGAGCUUUAAGGACAUUCGCGCUAAUGGCUUUCACUUGAAAACUCAUUGUGAAGAUGGAACUGAGUUCUUGUGUAUCACUUCUCAUGAAUACGGAUGCAAACGUAUAUUGGAGAAACUCAUGAGUCAAUCUAGUGGUCUUUACCUUACUACGAUUCGGAUUAUUGAAUCCCAUGUAGUCGCCAAACAGGAUCUUUGGGACUCUGACUCAUACAAGCUUUGGCAUGAUCGACUUGGUCAUCCUGGAAAGGACAUGAUGAUCCGAAUUCUAUGUAAUUCUCAUGGACAUCCCUUCUUCAAAUCAAAACGAAAACAUUUGGGAAAUGAUGUUACUUUGAAUCAUAGUGGUGACGCCUCAACUGGUCACCACGGCCCAAAAGGGACUUUGACGUCUCCCGGGCUCGGCAUCAACUUCAUGGCUGCCGCUCGGCCGCUCCCUCAAGCAAUUGAGGCGCGCCAUUCUUCCAUUGAUGUGUCGUUGACUCUUUCAAACGCUCAUCGUUCGUUUUACAAAGGUUGUUUUUUAGCGAAAGUAGUAUCGAGACCGUCUUACGCUAAAGAUAACACCGAGAACAUUCCAUUUCUACAUCGUAUCCAAGGUGAUAUUUGUGGACCCAUCCAUCCUGAAUGUGGACCAUUUCGAUACUUUAUGGUCCUGGUGGAUGCUUCAACGCGCUGGACUCAUGUCGCACUCUUGUCCACACGUAAUGUUGCAUUUCCAAAACUCCUAGCACAAAUUAUUAAACUUCGGGCUCACCACUCGGAUUAUCCAAUUAAGUCAAUUCGACUGGAUAACGCUGGAGAAUUUACAUCAAAGACUUUUGAUGACUAUUGCAUGUCUAUCGGGAUUGAAGUCGAGCAUCCUGUACCCCAUGUUCACACGCAAAACGGUCUCGCCGAAGCUACGAUUAAGCGGCUUCAGCUUAUUUCUCGAGCGUUGGUAAUGCGCACCAACCUUCCAAUUGCGUCAUGGGGCUAUGCAAUAUUGCAUGCAGCCUUACUUAUUCGUUUCAGACCCACUGCCAAACAACCAUUCAGUGCUUACCAGUUGGUCACUGGAUAUGAGCCUGACAUUUCGUAUCUACGCAUUUUCGGUUGUUCGGUUUAUGUGUCAAUUACGCCUCCACUGCGUUCUAAAAUGAGUCCUCAGAGACGAUUGAGUAUCUACGUUGGUUAUGAAUCUCCAACGAUUAUCAGAUAUCUCGAGCCAUUAACAGGUGAUCUCUUUAUCGCAAGGUUUGCGGAUUGUCACUUUGAUGAGACACUCUUCCCAUCGUUAGGGGGAGAUACGAACAAACGUGUUCAUGUGGAACGACAGGAAUUGUCGUGGUUUUUCCCCACUCUGUCUCAUUAUGAUCCCCGCACCUCACAAUCUGAAAGUGAAGUGAAACGUAUUCUCGAACUUCAGAAAAUAGCAGAUACGAUGCCUGACUCUUUCUCCGAGAUUGCGAAAGUGACAAGAUCAGAUAUACCAGCUGCAAAUGUUCCUGCUAGGCUCGAAGUCCCUAGAAAGGGCACGGCCAUCCCCUGGCUCGGUACUGCCAUCGUCGGCGGCGCCGCCCAUGGUGGAGGGAUGGAGGCCGUGGCUCCCUAAAGGAAAAGGGGGAGGCCACCUGGUUCGGUUGACACGCGUCUGAGAAAGAAACGGACCGACAAGGCACAAGUCAAUCCUUUGAUCAUCGAUGUUGAGAAUCCUUCUCACGAGAUCAUCUCUGAUUACAGUUAUGUCCACGAGUUGAUAUUAGAAUCCAUGGGGGACGCCUCAGGGUCAAUGCCAACAUCAGAGAACAUAGAGAUCUCCAUGUGUUAUGAUAACACUUAUGAAUUGAUGAACCGGUCAUCAACCCAUGUCGAUGAUAUAUUUGCUUAUUCCGUGGCUCAUGAAAUCAUUGAGCACGAUGACAUCGAACCACGCUCUGUUGCAGAAUGCCAAAACAGAGCAGAUUAGCCUAAAUGGAAAAUUGCAAUCCAGGCAGAAUUAGACUCUCUAACAAAGAGACAGGUCUUCGGCCUAGUAGUGCUAACUCCGCCGAGUGUAAAGCCUAUUGGACAUAAAUGGGUCUUUGUUAGAAAGCGUAAUGAGAAGAAUGAGGUACUUCGGUAUAAGGCCCACCUUGUGGCGCAAGGUUUCUCACAACGCCCUGGGAUUGAUUACGAGGAGACUUACUCUCCAGNNNNNNNNNNNNNNNNNNNNNNNNNNNNNNNNNNNNNNNNNNNNNNNNNNNNNNNNNNNNNNNNNNNNNNNNNNNNNNNNNNNNNNNNNNNNNNNNNNNNNNNNNNNNNNNNNNNNNNNNNNNNNNNNNNNNNNNNNNNNNNNNNNNNNNNNNNNNNNNNNNNNNNNNNNNNNNNNNNNNNNNNNNNNNNNNNNNNNNNNNNNNNNNNNNNNNNNNNNNNNNNNNNNNNNNNNNNNNNNNNNNNNNNNNNNNNNNNNNNNNNNNNNNNNNNNNNNNNNNNNNNNNNNNNNNNNNNNNNNNNNNNNNNNNNNNNNNNNNNNNNNNNNNNNNNNNNNNNNNNNNNNNNNNNNNNNNNNNNNNNNNNNNNNNNNNNNNNNNNNNNNNNNNNNNNNNNNNNNNNNNNNNNNNNNNNNNNNNNNNNNNNNNNNNNNNNNNNNACACAUUAGAGGAACUAGUGGAUUAAGUUCUACAACUGAUAGACCUACAUGCAUUUAUGAGGACAAUGCAGCUUGUAUUGAGCAAAUGAAGUUAGGUUACAUCAAGGGUGACAAUACAAAGCACAUUUCACCUAAGUUCUUCUACAACCAACAACAACAGGCGUUUCUCAACAUUCAAGUGAACCAAGUUAGUUCCGAAGGAAACGCAAUAGACUUAUUUACUAAGUCCUUACCUAAGUCUACUUUUGAGAAACAUGUGAAAAGUAUAGGCAUGCGUCGGCUAUCAAGUCUCUCUGAAUAAUGUUCACAUCAGGGGGAGUAUCAUCUCAAUGAAGUAGGCUGGUGCGUUGUACUCUUUUUCUCCUACGAUCAAGGCUCAGUUUUUCUCCCACAGGGUUUUUGUGACUUGACGAGGUUUUUGACGAGGCAACAGAUUAUCACCAUUGGCAUAUCAACGCGCGGCACAAGGGGGAGUGUUCUAAGAUAUUCUAUAUCUUUCUAGAUAUUCUUUAUGUGUGUCUUUGCCUUAUGCCAAUAGGAUAUGUAGUUAGACUAGAUCUAUGUAUUCAUAUCCUUACCAUACUGGUAAUGUGUAAUUCCCUAUAUAAAGGGUUUCUAUCAAUGAAUGAGAUACACAUCUUUCACGAUUCUCUAUUCUCAAUUUACUUUCACUUCAUCAUAUAUAUAUAUUUUUUUUUAUAAAUGUACAAACCUCAGAUUUCGCAGUCCCCACCAGAAACAUUGCAACAACUUGUCGGAAAGAUCUGUUGAUGAUUUUGUCAAACCAGACUGAAUAGCGGAAUCGUAAAUACCAAAAUCCACAAUUGUGUUUGAUGAAUUUGAGCAAAAUUUAUCGAGUAUGGGUUUUGUAUUUUCCACAGUAAAAUUAGUAUCUUUCAAAUGAUCACAGUGAGGAUCAUAUUUUUUAAUGGCAUCAGUCCAACAAGUUACUAUACGAUCAACAGCAAGAUAGUACCACACUGCUCCAAAUAGCUAAAGAACCAACAAUGCAAUUAAUGGUUAGGUUUCUGAAGAAUAUGAAAUGAAAGUGAUUAUAAGUAUCUGUAAUGUAAUGUAGAUUUGAAACUUACAUGAGCAGCAAGGAUGAAGGGCAAAAGUUCCAAUGUAGCUUUAAGCCAACUUCCUUUUACAGAUGCUAUAUUAGGUUGCUGGCCGAGCCAGCCAUGGAUGCGAUAAACUCGUACUGUAUAUUGAAUUAGAGUGAGAACAAGAAGAACAGAAUCGACACCUCUGGCGGUGAGUAGUGUUACCUGCAUGUAUACAGAACAACUAAAUCUGUUGAAGGUGUUAGGCCAUUUUGAUAAAUACCUACAAUAUUAUUGAGCUGUAUCCAUAUUUAACAUGUCACAUUUAGAGGCAGUAGGGUUUAUCUUACCUGCGGAAGGGGAAGAGCAACAAAUAUACGAACUAGGAGAAGGGGUAUUGAUACUGAUCUAAUGCCAUUCAAAGAAACAGUAGUAGCUGGUACUCGCUGUCGCCGGGCCUCACGCAUCCUAGCUUUCCGAAUUUGCCAUAAACAAAAGAUGAUGUCCGAUGUAUACAAUAGAUCUGUAGCUGAUCGUAGAGUGACAUAUGCUAACAUUAACUUUUGGUCCAUCAUCAGACACUUCUUCUAGUCGUUAAUGAGAAAGAUGUAAGAAAACAAAGGAUCAAGUAGGACAGCAAAUGCACAUGAUAUUACAAAUAUCUUAUUGUCCCACAUUGACAGGAAUGCUGACUGAUCAUGAAGCUUAACGUCCUCUGUUUCUUCUAAGAAAUAUUCAAGUUCCUCCAUUUUUGGCCAUUUCGGAGUAGUACUUCUUCUUCUGUGUCCUCCAUCUUUUGCGGUAGAAGUCGCAGAACUACCAUCCUCAAAACUAUUUUGAUCUGGACUAAUCCUGAAUAAGACACAAGGACAAGGUUAAAUAUUAAAACCAUAAUAACUGAUUUGGCGGAAAAAAAAAACAUGCAGUUUGGUUGUGAUUAGAGAAACCAACGUACCUUAUGGCAACUGAGUCAGUAUGGGAGGCCUCCAUAGCUAAACUUGUCAAAAUAUGAAGCAUUGAAAGUUAUUAGCCAGAGAUGGAGAUGAAUGCUAUCAAAUUUUAGAUGCAUGUAGUUCAAGGUGUGAGCAACAUACUGAGAUUUGCUAGGUUAACUCGUACACAUUAAUUACAGAAGUUCCUGACUAGAAUGAAUCCCAUGCGUGUAAGUAGCACUUCACUUAGUGUUGAACUUUAUCGAAAUUUGGUAGUUUAUCAUCUUUAACUUUCAGUUCUCUUCUAUUACUUUAUGUUAUGGGAUUAAUCAAAUUAAACUCAUUAAUUUGGUCUACAACAGAACAUAUUGAAACAAUACUAUAUAUAUAGAUAUAGAGGUCUGCAAGAAUGACUCAAUUGUACGUGAUAAGGAUAGUUAGCAUGCAUUUUAAUGAUUUUAUACAAUAACACAUAUAUAUUGAGAAAGAACUGAACUCGUUUGAUCGACUUCAAUCGAGUAUGUUAAUUACUUCAUCAGAAGGCGAUUCGUCUCAAGCAAAGGUGCAAGCUUGAUUUCUAGAGACCGGGAGCUCGUAAAGUACAACAAUGACUGAUAAAUGAUCAAGUUUAUACAAAUGGAGUUUUUGAAGAUUGUACAAAAGGAGAAGAUCGAGAGAGCUAUAGUCUAGUGUUAAACGUCCCAGCCCGUUGGUACAAUUUUGCUGAAAUCCCCAAUACCAGCUAAUAAUUCCUCUUGUAAUUUCUUAAUGUGAUUUUUCUUGCGGUUGGACUUUCUUGAUGAAAAUGCAUUCAUGCAAAACUUCUUUGUCUCGGCGAUACAUUUCGCUCUUUCUUCACUUGAGUAGGGCGUUUGUAAUCUGAUUCCUAGUUGAAACGAAACAAAAGCAUCUAUGCAAGCAUAUUUCACUUGAUAGUAAGUGAGUCGUUCAUUACCCCAACGACUCCUUGUAAGUUUCUUAUCCUUCUCCAUCUCCUUGUUUAGAAACUCCAUCGCCAAGGUCUUCAAUCCCAUGGACUUGUAGUCUUUGUAGAUAUCUUCUUUGUAUUUUUCUGCAGCCAUACGUUCGUAUUUCUCUGCAGCCAUAUAUGCGACAUCCAUAGCACAUUUUACAUAUAGACCUUGACGAGCCAAACGAGCGACAUCCCCACAAACUUCCUUACCAACAAAGGUCAGGUUUUCAUCACCGAGGAAUUUGAUGAGCGAUUGCGGAAUGCUUUUUGAUUGGGACAGUUGAUAAAUUAGGCAAUUAUGACCUACACAAAGUUGAAGAACUGCAACUUCUUGAUAUUGAGUUUCAGGGUUCCAUUGCCAUUCAGUAUCAAGACCCACAAUAGACUUAUUGUGACCUAUGUCGUGAUAAAUAUCAUCAAUCCACUGGUCUACACUAGGUGCGUCUGAUGUCAGAAUAGUUCGGAUGCGAUCUUCGUAAAAUUCAAUGGGGAAUAACUUGAACUUGCCUCUAAGAGCCAUUGAGAACAAAUUGUAUGUAUGAAAGUGAAAGUGUGGAAAUACAACUUUGUGAGAAGUAGAGUAGUCUCGGUCGUCUUAUAUAGAUGCAUAAAAAGCUAUGUUAUUCCCAAGUCCUAAGGGUUUCCUAAGUCUGCCCAACUUGGUGCGUUUGUAGGAUAUCCUAUUCCUACAGGGAUAUGGGCAAUCCAAUUGUACGAAAGAACUUUGGACACUGAUUUGUAUUGGCAUUGCACCAAGAUAUAUAUCGACUUGGUAAGCUAGGAUACCCUAGUUCCUACGUCAAACCUAGGUGAGCUAGGAUAUCCCACUCCUACAAGCGUAUGGAGAAAUUCCAAAUUAACUUGAAUUUUCUACUCUGUAAUGCUCGCCUAGAAAUUUUGGUAAUUUGUCCCUUUAUUUUUACUAGACACGACUAAUUGAUAGACUUCGGGUCCUUUUCUUGAUUUGCAUUAUAAAAUUAGUUAUGAACUAUGAAUUGGAGAGUAAGUGAUACCUGAUAAGAUUAGCUACUAUUAGGCAUAGCCGUAUAGAGUGGAUAUAAGUGGAUAACUCCUCCAUUUCAAAAUGGAAUUUACAAAUAGAAUAGAAAAAAUAAAAACAAAAAAUUAUUGACAAUUCAUCUGAUUCAUCAACAAAUGGUGGUUCCAACUCUUCUGACCCAAGUUUGGAUUAUAACCAAUGAGUAUCCACAGGCAAAAUUCAUCUGCAAUGUAUAAAGUGGUCAUUCAAAGAUCAUAGAAUUGACAGAAAAGGAGAACAGAUACUCAUCAUGCUGAUCUUCUAAUGUUUACCUAUUUUUCGUUGUCUAGUGAGGAGAACAAGUGUUCCAAAUCCAAUCAUUAUUGCAGCUUUUAUUGCCUGAAAGAUAAAAUAACGGAGGUAUCAGCACUAUUUUUGUGAUGUACAGUUCGCGCUUUAGUUUGUGUUCAUCGGUUUCAUCCUCUAAAUCUGAACUAUAGGACUAUAAAUUUAUUAUCAACUUAGUUUCUUAGUACAUUUAUGCAGUAGGAAGUCAUACAUCACUUGAUUAAAGAACUAUAACGAAGUGAUCUCUGUGGUGUUAGAAAUAUAACCUGUCCAACUGCCACUCCAGAAGUUUCUGUUUCUUCUGAUUUCUGAACCUUAUGUUGUUCUCUUGGUCUGUUCUUCUUCUCAUUUCUGUUCACUUCAUUACCAUUACUGCUAUCCGCGUUUUCCUACACAAUGAUUAGAAUAGACUGUCAUGACACCGUUCCACUACAUCAUUUUCAUUUGAAAGAAUUUGCAUUAUUACUUUCAGUCUAGAAUAGAAUAUCAUUCUCAUGUUUUAAAUUGGAUCUAGAUGAGUCAAAAUGGUUCAACAAUGUAAUAAGUAAUCAUAGGGCACUUAAGGAAAUUUAGAUACCUGCUGGUCUACUGCAUUUUCUGGAGGAGACAAACUCUUCCCAUCUUGAUGCAUACCUGGCUUUAUCAAAUUGUGACCUCCUAGAAAAUCCAUCACCUUUUUACCACUAGUUGUUAUACAAAAAUGUAUUGCUUCAUCUGGGAAUAUCCAUCCACCAGAUCUCUCAAAAGGAUUGUGCCUGUCUUCGCAUUUUGCUGUUGAAGUGCAUAUUUGGGCUGCAACUCCUUGAAUGUUGGACUUUUGAGAAUUUCUUGAAGAGAUUUCUGGCUGAUGACUUUCCUCUAUAACUGGACUGCCACCUGAAUCUCUCUUUCCAUGGAGCAUCUUACUAGGUUGGUGUCUAUGAUCAUCAAGUACCCUCUCUGAAACUUUAACUACUAUUUCUGAUGAUGUUGUACUGAAAUCAGUGAGGACCUUAUCCUCAUUUAUGUGAACUUCUUGAUGUAAUAGUUUGGAUCUACUCUUAAUACCUGUGUCAUGUGAUGAUUUAGUCCCACCUAAAGCUUCAAGUGAUAUAUUUUUCUCACUGCUUCCACCAUAUGUCCUGUCAUGUUGCAACUGUCCUGGAGGUAAAGAAUUCACUGCCCGUUUUGAUACUGACUCUGAAGUUUCUGUAUUUACUUUCUUCUUGUCUUCUUUUAAGUUCUGGUUCUUCGGAAAAUUGCCUGUUAAAGUUUUGUUUGAUUGAACUUUCAUCGGUGAUGGUUUGAUGUGAGGCUUCUUAUCCUGUUGUUGAAGCAAACAUUACUCAUUAUUACUAAUUUACUAUGGAAAAAAAAACAAGUUAAUCACUUGCUUAGCGUAUAGAUAGGCAUACCUCAGCUAAACCAGUUUCAAAGGCACUUAUCAUGUUCUUUACGCUGGAACUUUUCUUCAGUGGGCUCUGCUGCUUUUCGAGUUUGCAAUUCUCAUCUUCCUGAAGCUUAGGAAGAUUUGUUAUACCAAUAACUGGUUGCGAGGCUCUUAAUAACCUUGCAGGUUCAUCAGCGCAAAUUGCUUCAGCAGGAAUCAUAGUAGGAAGUGGUUGGAUAUUGAUGUUAUCAACUAAACCCCCGCGACUCAAUUCAGUUGGAGACAAAUUAACACUUUGCUUCACAGUGAUGGCUGAUGAAGUCUCUGCAUUCCUAUCUGCAUCACUCUAAAGCAGGUUCAAUGAUCGUUAAUGAACUCACAAACAGUACAUAUCAAUUUUCAAUUAUUCAGUUUUACUUGAAGAACAAAAAGAUCACUCUUCCACUUCCGUAAAUUUUCCUACUCCCAAGUCCUCUACCAUCUGAGACCAAGUCAUCAUCCAGACAAACUUGACAAACUGUCUUUGCAAUGCCUAUGGCCUCAUUUUCAGGAAUGGUAAUCCACAUUAACAGUUAUAUACUAAUUCUCUCCGCUUACUGUUCCUCCCAUGUUACAUUUUCUACCUUAAAGUUUCUAUAUAUUAUUCUUUCUAGGAGAACAAACUCAAACCUGAGAUCACAUUGCGUAGAGUCAAAAAAGUACAUUGGUCAUGGGACUGCUAUGAAUGAACUCCCCGUGCUUCUUUUUCACUGCAGAUUCUCGCUGCAAGAAAUUGUCACUAACUUGAGUACAAACUAAAAAUAGUCAUUGAAAAGUAAGAUCAGAAUCACAAAAGAGUACCAUCAUACGGAUUUGAUUGCGUUCUUCUUCACUGAGUACAAACUGCAACUUCAAAUGCAGAAACCCACCUCCUUUGAGGGGAAAGAAGUCAUCCCAAAGACCCUUUUCAACUAUGGACCUGGUCUCAAUAGCUGCAUUUCCUAGAUAUGAGUAUGUACAUAUCUGCUGCAGUACAAUUCAUAUGUAUAGGAUUGUUUCGACAAACCUGUUUCUGAUAUCUGAUUCCCUUCAGAAUCUUGAAGAAUAACAAGCAUGUUGUCCCGAAGAGUCGUCAAUGGGCUGAACAUGAAAACAAACUGGAUUAGAUACCAAGUUAAUAAUAUUAGCAUUUAAGAUCAAGAUGAGGGAAGGUGAUCAUUACAAGGACAAGUCUCUACUCUCCCAAAUUUGGAACUCUGAUCUUGGCCCCAAAGAAACUGCAUGUGAAUACAGUGAACCCUUUGUUUAAUUGUUGGUUGUUGCAGACAGACAAACUAAGAAGAUAACUGACUUCAGAUGAAACAGUUUCUCACCCUUUAUUGAUGUUGAAGAAGAUGAUGAUGAAGACGGCAGGUCCAUGAAUUUAAGAACUGAAAAGAUUCAAUAGUCAUAUGAAAUGGUAAGAAUCACACCUAAGUAUAAUGCCAAGCCCAUGAUUGAAAUGUAAUUGAAGACUAUAGAUGUUGGUACCUGAAACCAAGAUGGUUCCUGGCAUUGUAGGCAAAUUUGCAAUGGAAAUUGGCCGUUUAAAAUCAGCAAGGUCAGUCUGCAAACUUCUAAAAUUGGAUGAAUGGUUCAAGUCUUCAAGAGGGAUAUGGGGUUGGAUGGAAAUUGUGGAUGUAGUUAGAAGAGGGAGUUCGACGGCUACAGUGGUAGGGUCUUCUAUUAAAUUCUCAUACUCAAAGGUCUCAAAAGGCAAAAUGACAAAAAGAUUAUUUCUGUCUGGCUCAAACUGUCUGCAUAAAUUUUGUCACAACUAACUGGUAUUUGAUUUACGAGAUAAGCUAUUCUUCAUUUGAGUAAUAACUGAACCAGUUUGACUUUGCUGAUCACACUAAAUAGAUAUCUGUGACAAUAGUAUAGCUUGAAUAUGGUCAGAAGGGAGCUGAUGACAAAACCUGAGUUUGCAACUCACUUUUGUACAUUUCAUCCAAUUCCUCAUUCCAUGCUAUCCAAUGAUUAAAUAAAAUACACAUAACAUUUGUAAGAGAUUCCCUUAACAAGGCUUUGAUCCACAUGUUAAUCUGCUGCAAAUAUUUCAUGAAGUCAAAACUAACAUGAUUACAAAGUCACUGAAAAUUAACCUACUUCAAUAUUCGUUUCCCAAAAAUCUAAGUUCUGUGGUCUAUACUUUGAAACAACAUCUCUCUGUGUAGAAUUCUGUCAGUAAACAGCAGCACCAAUUAAAAGCUUGGUACAGGUUUUGCACAGGAAAAAAAUGAUUAAAGCUUGAUUUUUCUUUCAUAAUUUCGUUUCUUCUUCAAGAUCCUGGAUAUUUAACUUUCUUUUACACUCCAGCAUCCACCGUACAAGUUCGUGUUGCUGGUCUUCAGGGAUAGGAAGCUACACCUUCACAAAUCCCAUGUCUCCGAACUUGUAGUAGUUGU